UCAGCCCUCGUACCUUUUGCAUCAUGAUUUAGCCAGAACCCUUAAGCAAAGAGAACUUUAGUUUAAACCCCCGAAACUGAGUGAGCUACUCCAAGACAGCCUAUUAAUAAGGGCGAACCCGUCUCUGUGGCAAAAGAGUGGAAAGAGCUUAGAGUAGAGGUGACAAGCCAAUCGAACUCAGUCAUAGCUGGUUGCCUGAGAAUUGGAUCUAAGUUCAGCCCCCCGGGUUCUCCUUAAACCGGGGGAGUUAGUCAAAGGAGGUACAGCCCCUUUGAAACAAGACACAACUUUUCCAGGAGGGUAAAGAUUAUAUUAAUUAAGGAGAAAUAUCUUAGUGGGCCUUAAAGCAGCCACCCAAACAGAAAGCGUUCAAGCUCAAGUACAUAUUCUAAUAAGCCAAUCUUAACCCCCUAAACCUACCAGGCCGUUCUAUGCCCCCAUAGAAGCGACUAUGCUAGAAUGAGUAAUAAGAAGGGACCUUCUCCCAGCACACCUGUAAAUCGAAAUGGACAAACCACCGAAUAUUAACGACCCCAAACAAAAGAGGGCCAUGGGUGACUAACAAGAAAAACCCCCAUCGUUAACCCUACACUGGAGUGCUAACAAGGAAAGACUAAAACAAAGAGAAGGAACUCGGCAAACAAGCCUCGCCUGUUUACCAAAAACACCGCCUCC
RNAcentral lists this ribosomal RNA (675 nucleotides) under Citharus linguatula. RNAcentral describes it as "partial 16S ribosomal RNA". It matches the Rfam family "Bacterial large subunit ribosomal RNA", at positions 592 to 1755 of the family's 2925-position model. The record is from RNAcentral. Lineage: Eukaryota; Metazoa; Chordata; Actinopteri; Pleuronectiformes; Citharidae.